Molecule: long non-coding RNA, 1225 nt
Organism: Cryptomeria japonica (Japanese cedar)
Lineage: Eukaryota; Viridiplantae; Streptophyta; Pinopsida; Cupressales; Cupressaceae
Exons: 2
Source: RefSeq, a predicted model, not a curated record
UGCUAAUUGGGUAUAUAUGCUUAUUCCAAAUGGCUUUCUGUUGUAUUCUUCUUUCAAAUAGCACGCCCAUACGGUCGGUGGUAGGAAAGGCUGUGGGAUUACAGUUGGCGAGCAGAUUUUUGUUUCCUUUCAAUGGAUGAUUAAAUCAGUGUUUCCAAUGUGCAGCUGUCUGCAUUUUACGCGGCUUUCCUGCAUUAUAUUUUCCUAUAAAUCCUUCUAUACUUGCCCCAUUCUCCAUCAGAUAAACACAAUGGAGUUGAAAAAUGUGUGUUCUGCAGCAUGGAUAUUAAUGUUCAUCUUGCCCACAGUCUUCUGCUGUGAUCGGUGUGUUCACAAAUCAAAAGUGGCCUAUUACUCUUCCUCCCAGCCUGUCAAUGAUCUAUUUUAUUUUGCAGGAUUAGCUGCAAAAUUCUACAUGGUAUCAGAGCCAGAUUGUUAGGAAGAAGAAGUUAGACAAAUUAUUUGCAGGCAGAUUUCUGAAGAUUAGCAUCACCAUGGAAGCUGACGUCUAUUUCUGAAUGCAUGCAUAUUCUUUUCCUAAUUUUUGCAUGCUCCUUGCUUUUUUUUCCUACAUUGAUUCUUUAAAAUUGUAUGUGCUUUGCAAGCACCACAUGAUGAAGAUCUGGAAAUUUUGGGGCUUUGUAAAAAUUAAACUUUUAGAAAGUUUAUAUGGGGUUUUGCUUGAUGCAUUUAGUCUAGGUUUCUUUCAAUAAAUCGAAGAUUAAAGUUUCUAUGCACUCUUCCUCCAAUUGACAACCAAAAAUGUUCUUUUUUUCUAAAUUCUUGUCUACAUGAGAUUCCAAUGUUGCAACUUUGUUUGCUCCUAGAGAUUCUUUCUAGCAGGGUUCCUGACUACAUGAGAUUCCAGAGUCGCAUCUUCGAGUGCUUCUAGAGUUUCUUUCUAGUGGGACAUUAUUGAGCAAUGGAUAUACAAUGGCAUCAUCCCAAUCGGAGGUCAUCUUUGCAGUUCUUCAGCUUUGAGCACAUUUAUUCAGAUUCAUAUCUUCCUGUCUUCAGAUGAUCAGUUUUUGUAUUCAGAGACCGUGUACUUGUCUGUUCAUCCAUUUGAGCAAUGCAUAAUAUGUACAAUUGCAUUUUCAAAGUAUCCUAGAGGUACUCAUGCAGUGGUUUCUAUGAUUCUGUACAAUCCUGUUGCAGUGUGGAUUCAUUUGCAGUUUGCAACUUUCUUCUCUAGUUUGAAUAAAUGGUUAGGAGUUUUUCUCAA